This 328-nucleotide unclassified non-coding RNA is filed under the name soil metagenome. RNAcentral's name for it is "partial contains 5.8S ribosomal RNA, internal transcribed spacer 2, and large subunit ribosomal RNA". The stretch from base 4 to 119 matches the Rfam family "5.8S ribosomal RNA", at positions 39 to 154 of the family's 154-position model. The record is from RNAcentral.
GAUAAGAACGCAGCGAAAUGCGAUAAGUAAUGUGAAUUGCAGAAUUCAGUGAAUCAUCGAAUCUUUGAACGCACAUUGCGCCCUCUGGUAUUCCGGGGGGCAUGCCUGUUCGAGCGUCAUUAUAACCACUCAAGCUCUCGCUUGGUAUUGGAGUUCGCGAUCUCGCGGCUCCUAAAAUCAGUGGCGGUGCCUGUCGGCUCUACGCGUAGUAAUACUCCUCGCGAUUGAGUCCGGUAGGUUUACUUGCCAGCAACCCCCAAUUUUUACAGGUUGACCUCGGAUCAGGUAGGGAUACCCGCUGAACUUAAGCAUAUCAAUAAGCGGAGGA